Molecule: ribosomal RNA, 627 nt
Filed under: uncultured heterolobosean
Lineage: Eukaryota; Heterolobosea
Description: SSU rRNA
Rfam family: Eukaryotic small subunit ribosomal RNA
Source: RNAcentral
GUACUAUAUGCCUUGUUCUCAAAAGCCUUAAGCCCAUGCAAAUUUAAAGAUCAAAUCAAUAUGCGGUUUUCGGCCCGUGUAUAAUGAUAGUUCUGUGGAAGGCUCAUUAUAACAGUUAUACUCCUUAGCCACUGGAAAGUUUACAAGGAUACCACCGUUAACUGCAGCGAUAAUACUUGUUCCCUUCGGGGUGGUAAUAGUAUUUGUGCUGAAGCCUAGCUAUUGUAACCUAGCUUUUCGGGUGUGGCAACAUAUUCGGGGGAUUAGGAAUCGACCGCUAGCAGGUGCCUUCGGGCGCGGGAAAGUGAAUUAACAAGGUUUUCAUAAGGCCUUUCAGGUUUGCUUUUUCUAGUGGCCAGGCAGAGGAGUUUCUUACCUAUCACCUCGUUGUUUGUUUAAAGGACAAACCAGGCUUUGACGGGUACGGGGAAUCAGUGUUCGAUUCCGGAGAGGGAGCCUGAGAAAUCGCUACCACAUCUAAGGACGGCAGCAGGCGCGCAAAUUACCCAAUCUCAAUACGAGGAGGUAGUGACAAGCUAUAGUGACUCCACACCAUUCGGUGGGGAGGUAUUGUCUUCUGACGAUUUUCCAUGAUUUGGGUGUAGUUAACCCUUAGAGUAGCCAUUG